Molecule: long non-coding RNA, 1776 nt
Filed under: Panax ginseng (ginseng)
Lineage: Eukaryota; Viridiplantae; Streptophyta; Magnoliopsida; Apiales; Araliaceae
Description: long non-coding RNA (PGIN_LNC007045)
Source: RNAcentral
ACAUUUUAACCAACAAACACUUGAAAACUUAUUUUCUUUCUCUUUCUUCUCAUUUACACCAAAAAGCUUAGAAAAAAAAAGAACAAAGAAAAGAAAAGACUCUCUUCUCCACCACUCCAUGUUCAGUUUUUAGAGAGGAAAAAGAGAGAGAAGGCAUCCAUGGGAGAGGAAGAAUGAAGAAAAAGAAAUCAAGAGGAUUAACACUAAAGGUAUAAAAUUUCCUAAACUCAAAACUCUAGCUAGUUUAAUGUGUUUUGUUAUGGUUGUUUUAGAUCAAGUGUUGAACUUAUGAUUUUGAACCAUAUGAGGGUAGAUCUACAUAAUAUAUAAUAUUUUAUGGUUAGAUCUUGCCAUUUUUAGGGUUGAUGAGCUUGAACAAAGAAGAAGAACCAAAACAGUUUUUAACUUAAAAAAUAAAUUGGUGACUGCUGCCCCUAAACAGAAUAUUCGGGUUUAGCUAGAAUUCUCUAAAAAUUCUGGGCUUUUGGUAUGUUAUAGUACACUCAAUAAGCUUUCCAUAGACUCCGAAACGAACUAAAUCCGACAUCGGAGGAGAGAGUUAUGAUAUUUCAAAAUAGUAGUGUCAAAACUGUCUAACAAGUGCGGUGCAGUCCACUUGAACGAAAUUUCUGGGCUGAUAUAUUCAGAAUCUGGAAAUAUAUCCAGUAGGGAAGAGUUGUAGUCCCGGAAGAUAGCUUCGCGUGGGCUCAAGAAUCGCCUAAAAAUGUUUUAAAACGAAAAAGUUAUGACUGUUUUAGCGAAAGAGGGUAAAUCUGGGAUAUAAAUAAAAACUGUUGCGAGUGGACAUUUUUGGGGUCUGUUUUAGGCUGUCUAAGAGGUCCGAAAUUACUGGGUUAUAUUUUUUAAAAAUACUUUGGUAUACCAUGUAUAACAUAUCCAAAGUUGGGAAUAAUAGUAUGUGUGUGUAUACUAGGUAAAUCUGGGAUAUAGAUAAAAACUGUUGCGAGUGGACAUUUUUGGGGUCUGUUUUAGGCUGCCUAAGAGGUCUGAAAUUACUGGGGUAUAUUUUUAAAAAAUACUUUGGUAUACCAUGUAUAACAUAUCCAAAGUUGGGAAUAAUAGUAUGUGUGUGUAUACUGGAACCUCAUAUCCAAAGAGGUCCGAAAUUACUGGGUUAUUCUAUGUGUGUGUAUAUAUAUAUAUAAUAGUAUUAUAUUGUGAUGAUAUUACUCUAAUUUGUAUAUCGGUAUUAUUUAUAUAUUACGUCUUCAGAUAAAGCUUAAUAAAUUGCGUUACAGUAAUCAACGAAACAUGCAAGUUUUUCUUAACUCUACUUAGAGUUGUUUUAUUCAGAUAUGUUUAUGGUUAAUCAUUGCUAAUUGCCAUUGUAGAAUUGUACUCUGUACAUAUUGCAUGUAUAAGUCAGGUAUGAAAGGCUGAUCACCUUCAUUACCGUUCGGUCCAGAUAUAUUUGUUCAUGUUUAAUACUUGUUCAGUCAAAAUUUUGUUCGUGCUAGUUCUCAACUAUAUUGAAGAAUUAUAGCCAACUUAUUAUUCAAAUUCUUUCAAUCAUGAUAUAUCCUUAUAUAAAUUUAAACUUGCUGGGCAACUUUCAUGCUCACCCUUGCUAUAUCAUGAUAAAUAUUGCAGAUUAAAGCGAAUACGACAGAUACAAGGAAAGGUUAAAGACAAUUACAACGUUAGUUUUUGUGUGAAGCUAAAUUUGUAACAGCAUGUAUGAUAAUAUCUUUGUAUGUCAGAUAGGAUAAUGAAUUGUGUAUAAGUUAAGGUUACUCGACCUUGGGGAAUAGUGUG